This is a long non-coding RNA of Monodelphis domestica (gray short-tailed opossum), 1269 nucleotides long. RefSeq lists it as uncharacterized. Lineage: Eukaryota; Metazoa; Chordata; Mammalia; Didelphimorphia; Didelphidae. The record is from RefSeq and is a predicted model, not a curated record.
AUGGAGCUUUGCCCCAUGCUCACUGCUUAUAUGGCUGUUUGCAUUAGAAAUGACCAUAAAUCAAUGAACAAUGAAAGGGAGGAUUUUGCGUAAAAUUGAAGGGCCCGCGAGGAGGAUACAGAAUUGUGCUGGAUACAGAAAAUAGAAUGCAAGAGGGAACUUGGAAUUUUUAGUGAGGAGUUCUGAGAACCUGGACUGGCAGUUGGGGGAGAGUGAGGUGUUCAGGAGGACACAGCUCCUGAACUGAGCUCUCUCCAGAUCGAUUGGAAAAUCUACUCAAAUCACCUACUUUGGUCCUGGUUGUUCCUGAUUGAUCCCAGACAUCUCAUUGACACCUAUUGACUUCCAAGAAGACAUUAACAGAGAAAAUGACAUGGACUUCUAAGUUACCUCAAGUGGGCUCAGCCUAGUCUGUGGUGAUUAGGCUAUUUCUGUCACCAUCCUCCUGAUUUAUCAACUAGCUCUGACCUUAAUUCAAAGAGUGUUUGGAUGGGCUUAGCCUAGUUUAGUUAGACAGGAAGGUGGGAAACUAGACAGAGAAGGUGGCAGAGUAGGUCCAACCAUGCUGGACACCAAAGAGAUCCCCUAGGAUCAGAGGAACUGGGAUGGAUAGAUUUGGGAAAAGAUUAGGGAUCUUCCUAGCACAGCAUCCUUCCCAAACUCCAGAAUACCAGCUUUAAUACAUCUACUUUUGUUUAACCUGAAAGUCAGAUCAAGUUUCUCAGUGAACUCCAGGUCUGAGGGUAUCCAUCUUGCUCUUAGUGCAGGGAGAAGCAGCUAAACAGAUUCAAGGCUCAACUAAUCUUAUCACUGGUCCAAAUUACCAUCUUGCAGCAGGAAUUCUUCAGCCCUUUCUCUGGCCACCAUCAUAUCCUGUCAGCCUGGGCCUGCCUAUACUGCCUGAAUCACUAAACACCAUUCCUGGGAACCAGCUCCCCAACUCCCUCUCAGGACCAUCCAAAGAACUUCAUCCAGGAAGCUUACCUUGGCCAGGGGCAAACAAAUGAGGCAACACAAAUUACCUCAUUCCUGAAAACCCCUAAUUCCUCCUACCCUAUAAGAGGUUAAACCUAUCUCCACUGAGGUGGAGAUUCAGCAGCCAUCUUUACUAGUGCUGAUCUCUCUCUCCUUUGCUACUCCUCUCUUCCAGCCCCCUCCCCACAGAGGAUUCCAUAGCCAUCUCCUGGUAUCAGUGUCGUCCACCUUGAUGCUCCUCUGGCACAUACUCCCCCUCCCCUUCCUCCAAUAAAGCUGUGCUAUACCACCUUA